GCCUUGGCCUGCUCUACACAUAUAUAAUGGUGUAUAGAAGUGAUGAUCGAGCAGCUACACAUCACGUGUUUAUUGCAGAUCUGGACUUUUCUAUAUGAUAAUGAUGACCUGGAAGGACAUUAAAAAAAAUCUUUCCCAUUUUACUGUAUCGCCAGAUGUCUGAUGCUUUAUAAAUUAGGUGCCACUGCAUGGAGAUACCUCAAGAUUCUUCAGAGGAUAGUUAAACUUCACUUAGAAAUUGUAACCAUUA
This is a long non-coding RNA of Talpa occidentalis (Iberian mole), 250 nucleotides long. RefSeq lists it as uncharacterized. Lineage: Eukaryota; Metazoa; Chordata; Mammalia; Eulipotyphla; Talpidae. The transcript has 3 exons. The record is from RefSeq and is a predicted model, not a curated record.